Molecule: long non-coding RNA, 823 nt
Filed under: Bos taurus (domestic cattle)
Lineage: Eukaryota; Metazoa; Chordata; Mammalia; Artiodactyla; Bovidae
Description: long non-coding RNA NONBTAT017427
Source: RNAcentral
UUCUGACAUCUGUGUAUGAGAAAUUUAAAGCCAGCUAAAGCUGGAUACUGGACUUUUAGCAGCCAGCUCAAAUCCUGCAGGUGUUUGUGACAGGUGGUAUGAUAUGCCUUUCAUCUCAUUUUCUCACUAAAUCAAAGUAUGUUCUGCCUCCAUGCCUUAUAAAGUUAAUUCAGCUAUCAAACAUUUCAGUUACUCAAGACUGAGUUCCUUCCAUUAUUCCUGAUCAUGCUUACUAAUCUCAGGUUUUAUCCUAGAUAACUUCUUUCUUAUUGAUGUCUCACUUGGUUGUAACUCACCUAGUUGUAGUUUGUCUUUUAUUUUAGAAAGAGAAGUACUUAAUUAGCUAAAAUACCAAUACAUGUAGUCAUUAAUAGUGGGGGAAUAGGUUAUAGUCUUUAUUCUUAAGAGCCAAAUGACUACCAGCUGUGGUGUUUAAGUUUUAUGCUGUAUGUUUGUAUAUUUUACAAAUCAUUCAAGAAACUAUAAAUUUAUUUUAAUCUGUAUUAUAUAAUUCAGGAAUUCCCACCAUCAAGUGACAUAAUAAAAAGAGUUAUAGAGUCUUCUUCUUUCUCUUCCUUUCAUAAAAUAACUGUAUCCUGGACUGGUAUCUUGGAAUCUGAGUUUGAAUCCUGAGUGUACCGUUUUCUAGCAUGUAGUCUUAAUGUGGGAGUAGAACGUGCAUGGAUGGACUUCAGAGGCUGUGUAGCCUUUCAGAAAAACGACUCUGGAGAUUUUCCACCAGGCUUAAUGCAGAGGAGUUGAAGUUUUUCCUCACUGCAGCCCUCAAGAGUAUAUUAUUAUACCUUCAAACAAUAACUCUCCA